RNAcentral lists this transfer RNA (85 nucleotides) under Xyrichtys novacula (pearly razorfish). RNAcentral describes it as "tRNA.Sup". Lineage: Eukaryota; Metazoa; Chordata; Actinopteri; Labriformes; Labridae. The record is from RNAcentral.
CAUAGCUCAGUUGGUAGAGCACAUGACUUUAAUAAGUUCCUGAAACCCUGUCUUCCAAAGGUCGCUGGUUCAACUCCAGCUCCAA